GGGGCUGCCUCCUGGGGACGCGGAGCAAGUCACCUUGGCGCUCGGGGCCGGGGCCGACAAAGACGGGACCCUGCUGCUGGAGGGUGGUGGCCGCGACGAGGGGCAGCGGAGGACCCCACAAGGCAUCGGGCUCCUGGCCAAGACCCCCUUGAGCCGUCCGGUCAAGAGGAACAACGCCAAGUACCGGCGCAUCCAAACUUUGAUCUACGACGCCCUGGAGAGACCGCGGGGCUGGGCGCUGCUGUACCACGCGCUGGUAGUUAUUCCACCACCUGCAAGUGGCUUUCAGAAUGCUAAAGCCUGCAGCCUCCCGGAGAGGGCCUAGAAGACUUCGAGACUAUGAGGAGGAAGAGUCAGAUAAACACCCAGGCACAGUCAUAUGUGCACAGAAACUUAUUGUGGCUAAUUCUCACAGGAUCCUAUGAGAUGAUUACUAUCAUUUCCACUCUACAGGUGAAGAUAGGAAGCAUUCAAGAGAUGGUCACUUGCUCAGAUCCCACAUCUGAUUUCCUGGAGUUUUACAUUGGAGGGCAGCCAUUGACAAGCCACUCGUGAAGAAUGAAUGAGCCAAGCAAGGAAGGAGUUGAUAUGAGCAGCCUUAGGAUAUCAGCUAGUGAGGCCCCACGCUGGGCCUGUGGCCACAUGUGCUUGGAAUUUCACUGUCUAGGAAAUGGACUCACAGGAAGUGGCCAUCUGUGCUGGCUGUGAGAUUAAAAAAUGCUUCUUUUACAAAUGAGGUUCAGGGAAGUGAGGUGAUUUGCUCAGGAGUUCCUGAAGUAACAGAGCUGGGCUCACACAGGAGUCCUCAGCCAUGGCUAGAACUCCCUUCAACUUGUCGUGGUUGCAUGGAGUAGAAGGUAGUAGAGGAGGCCUGGAAUGCCCUCUCCCAGGUUAGGAGUUUAAGUUACAUUUUUGACAAGUUCCCAGGGGAAGCCAUGGUCACUGGUUUGCAGACUGCACUUGGAGUAGCAAGUCUUCAAACUUUGACAUAUUAGAAUCAUGUAGGUCAAAAGCUAUCAUAAGAGAAAAAUCUGGAAGAUGCCACCUGAACUGAAGCUACCAGACUUGUGUAUACUGAGAUAAACUAACCCUACCCUUAUUUUAUUGUAAUUCAGUGCAUAUGUACAACAUCCCUCCCCAGGGUCCCACAUGACCUGAAUCUAACUUUGAAGAAAUAAUUGACAAUUUCAAACUUUAAGACAUCUUGCCAGAUACCUGGCAUGGUCUGUUACUAAGGGUCUGUGUCAUAAACCAGUCAAGAAACCAACUGACAAAAGAAGAGGACUGCAUAGCUUAAAGGAGGCUAGAGAGAUGUGACAAUCAAAUGAAGUGCCUGAUCCUUCAUUGGCUCCUGGAUUGAAAGAAAUAAGUAGGAAUGAAGGAUGUUAUUACAGGGAUAAUUAAGAAACUUGAAUAUUGACUCCUAAUUAGAUAACCUUAUAUCAAAAUUUAAUUUCUUGCUUGUGAUAAUUGCACUGUCAUCGGUUAGGUGGAUAUUCUUUUUUUCUCUUGUUGCCCCAUUUUUCAGAGAGAAGCAUGGUGCAGUGGUUAGCAGUGAGGAGUCAUAUCUGCAUCUUUCAAGUGGAUGGAAA
Long non-coding RNA from Fukomys damarensis (Damara mole-rat), 1592 nucleotides. The record is from Ensembl. Lineage: Eukaryota; Metazoa; Chordata; Mammalia; Rodentia; Bathyergidae.